UACGUAGGGCGCGAGCGUUAUCCGGAAUUAUUGGGCGUAAAGAGCUCGUAGGCGGUGUGUCACGUCGGCCGUGAAAACCUGCAGCUUAACUGUGGGCGUGCGGUCGAUACGUGCAUCACUGGAGUUCGGCAGGGGAGACUGGAAUUCCUGGUGUAGCGGUGAAAUGCGCAGAUAUCAGGAGGAACACCGGUGGCGAAGGCGGGUCUCUGGGCCGAUACUGACGCUGAGGAGCGAAAGCGUGGGGAGCAAACAGG
Molecule: ribosomal RNA, 254 nt
Filed under: uncultured bacterium
Lineage: Bacteria
Description: partial 16S ribosomal RNA
Rfam family: Bacterial small subunit ribosomal RNA
Source: RNAcentral